CCUACGGGGGGCAGCAGUGGGGAAUAUUGGACAAUGGGCGAAAGCCUGAUCCAGCCAUGCCGCGUGUGUGAAGAAGGCCUUCGGGUUGUAAAGCACUUUCAGUGGGGAAGAAAGCCUUGGGGCUAAUACCCUCGAGGAAGGACAUCACCCACAGAAGAAGCACCGGCUAACUCCGUGCCAGCAGCCGCGGUAAUACGGAGGGUGCGAGCGUUAAUCGGAAUUACUGGGCGUAAAGCGCGCGUAGGCGGUCUGAUAAGCCGGUUGUGAAAGCCCCGGGCUCAACCUGGGAACGGCAUCCGGAACUGCAGGCUAAGGGGCAGGAGAGGAAGGUAGAAUUCCCGGUGUAGCGGUGAAAUGCGUAGAGAUCGGGAGGAAUACCAGUGGCGAAGGCGGCCUUCUGGACUGACACUGACGCUGAGGUGCGAAAGCGUGGGUAGCAAACAGGAUUAGAUACCCGUGUAGUC
This 464-nucleotide ribosomal RNA is filed under the name Vreelandella stevensii. RNAcentral's name for it is "partial 16S ribosomal RNA". It matches the Rfam family "Bacterial small subunit ribosomal RNA", at positions 338 to 795 of the family's 1533-position model. Lineage: Bacteria; Pseudomonadati; Pseudomonadota; Gammaproteobacteria; Oceanospirillales; Halomonadaceae. The record is from RNAcentral.